Long non-coding RNA from Glycine soja, 4033 nucleotides. RefSeq lists it as uncharacterized. The transcript is spliced from 3 exons. NCBI's taxonomy places the organism in Eukaryota, Viridiplantae, Streptophyta, Magnoliopsida, Fabales, Fabaceae. The record is from RefSeq and is a predicted model, not a curated record.
CAUCCCUUCGCAAUUACUAUUUUCACCACCCACGCUAGUGUCAUGUUUUCUUUUUGUAUUUUUUGCACCCCUUACACAACAGAAGUCAUGGCACCACAAUGUUGUGACUGUGAGGCAAGGCGUGGGCCACCGUGGUGUGACGACGAGGCAUUAUGUGUUGAUGUUGUUGUCAAUGUUGAAUGAUCUGUUGUGUUGAUGUUCUUCUUCCAUUUCUGUUUUCUCCUCUUUUUUGGAUUGUUGGUUGAUUGUUGUACUUCUCUGUUAAAAAAAUAUUGCCAAGGAACACUUUCUUGUCAAAGCAACGAAGCUUGUUUUUAAGAAACUCUCCCUACCACAUAGAUUUGCUCCAAUAAAAAAGAAAUUACAAGAUAUGGUUUCUUCACUUAAGAAAAUUUCCAAAGAACCCCAUUGAAGAUGUUGUAAUCCACUUAUCACCCAUAAGCUUAGGCAUGGCAACAAAAUCCAACCCUGUAGGAACUGAAUCGAACCCGUCUCGACUUUGAAGAAGAAAAACCGCGUUGACUAAGUUUGGGGUCGGAUUCAGAUUUUUCCCAAUAACCCAAAGCGGGGGUAGGAGUGGGUAUGAAAUUACUGAUAUCUACCCCGACCCUAACCCUGAACCCACCCCGAAAUUAUAGUGUAUAAUAUUCGAAAGUCAAAACUCAAAACUCAAAACCUAAUUCUUAAAACCUAAUCUGCACCGCGGCUCCGCACUCCUCACUCUACUGCCAAAUUGGAGUGUCGAUUUGGAGUUGCCACUCCUCUACUUCGAUCUCCUCUCUGAUCUCAAUUCCCCCAUCGACAAGGACACCAAGGUCUCUCUUUCUCUUAACCAUCCAUCGCAUUGUGAGUAUUUGAAGUGUCUGGUUUGCUUUGUUGGUAGUGGAUUGCAUUGUAGUUUUCCAUUUCCUCCUCUUCUGACCAUCAAAACACAUGUCCCUAAACAUCAAGAUAGCUUUUCACUGUCAUGUUCUAUUCUGUAUCUCAACAUUUAAUUAGUUUUAUUAAUUUGAGUGAAAAUUUUUAGUGCUUCAUUUUGGUUCUGUUUAUGUUCUCAAGAAAAAUAGUCAAAAAAGUGAAAAACCUUUACCUUGUUUGUUUGUGCUAGGGGCGCACAGUAUGCUUACUGUAAGCAGUGUAUAUUUACUUUGAACCUUGUUUGAAAACCAAAUGAAAGAAAAAAAAUGUUUAAAAUCAAUAUUUUUCUUUUUCUUUUCUUUCAUUUCAUGCCAUGCCAAUAGUAAAUUGGUAAAUAUACAAUUUAGUACUAAUAAAAAAAAAGUUGCCAAUAUGAUACCAUCUGCUCUGUUUUGAGCCAUGACCAAGCUAUACUUACAAUGCACGAGACAGAGCAGAGUGGUACUAUUCACAUUACAAAGAUUCUGUUGUCUAUUUGUGAAAAUUUUAAAUGUAUUAUGAAAGUUUGGUUAUUACAACCCACUGAGCCAAAGGCAGUCAAUGUUGCCACUUAGCACUUUCAAGAAAUUAAAAAAAAAUGAUGAAAAUAGUGUCGUUCGAAUCUGAUUUUCUUCUAGCAUAUCAAUGUUUUCCGCGUAUUGAAAAGAUCUGUGUAGAGCCAUCUGCUUUUUGUUUGUCACGCUGCAUCAUAGUAGUAAUAGAUCUGAUCUCCAACUACUUUAAGUUGUUGGUUUUUACUUUUUUUAGAAAAAUUGUUCAAAUAAUAGGAUGUAGAAAGAAUCUCAUUUAUAAGACUAAGAUAAAUAAUAACUAAAUAUAUUUACUAACAAGGUACUGCUUGUAAGAUCAUGUUUACUAACAAGGUGCAAAGUAAAUAUACACUGCUUAUUUCUAUUAGCUUGUUUGACUUUUGACUUUGGCUAUUAGAAUUUAGAAUUUCAGGACUUAUGUUUUAAUACAUGAACAAAUAAUGGCAAAAAAAAUGUUUGUCUUGUUAACAAGUAUGCAUUGGGCAAAAGUUAACUGUAAACAUGUUUAGCUCUUUUUAUAUGUUGUGGUAAAUACUAUAAUACUCAAAUAAGUGACAGAAUAAAUAUCUGAAUACUCAAACAUUUAUAUUUAUUUCAAACAAAUUGAUAUUUCGACCAUUUAUUCGUUACUUGAUAGUUAACUAGAUCUAUAACUUAUGAACUGUACCACCAAAAGGAAAGGGAAAUUUCACUAGUUUUGUGAACCUGUUUUUUACAAAAUGUAGGAGAAAAAAAAAUAUAAGAAACACUCACACAACUAAUAGUCUACUUCCAGUUUAUCUAUUGAUAUUUCUUUAGAUGAUGAGUUGGUGAAUGUGUAUAGAGUACGCGUAACUCCAUCCAAAAUAUAAUUGUGUACUGAAGUGAACCUUUCCAAAAGUGUUUUAUGCAACUAUCUUGAAGACACUGAUAACUUCUUCCGUGUUUCUUUCGUUGAUAAGGACAUGAAAGAGUACAAUCAACACUAAAAAAAUGACAUAACAGCUGGUGAUAAGAAUUUUAAGUAUCUUUCCUUCUCACCGAGUCAAUUAUGGGAUAAUUGUAUGGAUGUUUGCAUUAAAGGCACUGGACUUGUAUGCUACAUCUGAUAUAAAAAAGUGGAUGGGAGAUUUUGAUGAAAUUAGAAAUUGUGUCUUACUGCAUCUCCCCUUGGUUAAUUACUAUGUUAUAUUGCCAGUGCUAAAAAACUACUCUAUUUCUUAUCCUAAUAAAACAUCAUAAAGGACUAGAAAAAAAAUUAUAAAAAGAUAAAUAAGAUAAAUUUCAAAUUUUUUUAUUGAUUGAUUUCCUAAAAGAAAAAUAUAUUUAUAUCGAUUAGUUAGACUGAAUCAUUCUUAUUUAAUUGGUGUAAUUGUUGAAUCAUUGGGCUAUUACUCAAAUUUACUGCAUAUAUUGCAUGUUGCAUUUAUCAUACUACUUGUUUGGGAGAAAAAAAAUAUGAUAUUAGUGUUUUGUUUUCUUUCCCGGAAAGUAGUGUAAGAUAUUAGUUUUUCAUCGGAAGGAAUUUGUCUUAUUCCUUUAUCAAUUAAUUAGUCUCCUUCUCCUUCACCAAUUGAUCAGACUCAUUCACUUAUUCAAGUUGAUCUUACACCUUCUCCUUCACCUAUUAAUGUUGAUCCUACUCCUUCACCUCAUGAAGAUGAAGUUAAUAAUGUGGAGGCGCAAGGAGGAAUAUGUAGGCUGAAAAGUAAGAUUUGGUAGCAUUAAAAAAAAUUAAAGUCAAUGGUUUAGACAAGGCUAAAUGCAAGUAUUGUAAGAAACUUCUUGGUGGAAAAUCAAAAAAUGGAACCAAACAUUUGUGGUAGGAUAAUGAGAUUUGUGUUCAGUACAAGAUUUUUAUGAUAGGGAUGAAGGGCCAAACAUUUCUUACACCUAAGGUCGUGCAAGGAAAGCAAGAGUUGGGUGCGAGAACUUAUGAUGCGGAAUGUGCAAGGGGAAAGCUAGCAAAAGCAAUUAUUAUGCAUGGGUAUCCACUAUCAAUUGCGGAUCACCUUGGCUUUAGGAGAUACUUUACUGUCCUCCAACUUGUGUUUCAGGUUCCUACUAGAAAUACAAUUAAGAAGGAGAUAAUGAAAAUAUAUGAGAAUGAACGAGCAACAAAUUUGAAGUUGUUGAAUAGUCUUGAUGGAAGAGUGGUCAUUACAUCAGACAUGUGGACUUCAACAAAUCAGAAGAGGGGGUAUAUGGCUAUUAUGGCUCAUUACAUUGAUGGUUGUUGGAACUUGCAAAGUCAGAUUUUGAGGUUCUAUGAGCUAUAAAGUUGUUGCUGAAUGUGCUACUAUAAUGAAUGAAAUGAUUUCAGAUGAUGAAGGUGAAAUGAUGGGUGCUGGUGUCACUAAUUUGGAGGAAUGAUCAAGAUUUAUUUGUUGAACAAUUUAAGUUAUUUUUUUAUUAUGUAAUUUGAAAAUAUGAAACAUGUUUAAGUUGCUGAAUUAGAACUUAAAGGACAACCAACAUAGUAUAUUAGUAUCUUUUUUUUUUUGCUAAAGAGAAUCAUAGGCUAUUUAUUAUUGAGACAACAUAUAUUUAGAUGGUAUUGUAUUUUAGGAGAAAUUAAAUAUGCAUGUCCUUUAUUUCUCAUGCAA